AAGCCAAUUAAUCUGUUUAUUUGAAUGUGUUUCUGCAGAAAUUUAUAAACAGCUGGCAAUAGCGAAGCCAUUUUAUGAGACUCAAGGACAACUGAGGUCAUUAUAGUCCCUCAAAAUGCCUGACAACC
Small nucleolar RNA from Jaculus jaculus (lesser Egyptian jerboa), 128 nucleotides. NCBI's taxonomy places the organism in Eukaryota, Metazoa, Chordata, Mammalia, Rodentia, Dipodidae. The record is from Ensembl.